Molecule: ribosomal RNA, 879 nt
Filed under: human gut metagenome
Description: bacterial SSU rRNA
Rfam family: Bacterial small subunit ribosomal RNA
Source: RNAcentral
ACGCUGGCGGCAUGCUUUACACAUGCAAGUCGAACGGCAGCAUGGAGAGCUUGCUCUCUGAUGGCGAGUGGCGAACGGGUGAGUAAUACAUCGGAACGUGUCCUGUUGUGGGGGAUAACUACUCGAAAGAGUAGCUAAUACCGCAUAAGACCUUUGGGUGAAAGCGGGGGACCUUCGGGCCUCGCGCAGUUGGAGCGGCCGAUGACUGAUUAGCUAGUUGGUGGGGUAAAGGCCUACCAAGGCGACGAUCAGUAGCUGGUCUGAGAGGACGACCAGCCACAUUGGGACUGAGACACGGCCCAAACUCCUACGGGAGGCAGCAGUGGGGAAUUUUGGACAAUGGGGGCAACCCUGAUCCAGCCAUGCCGCGUGCGGGAAGAAGGCCUUCGGGUUGUAAACCGCUUUUGUUAGGAACGAAAAGGUAUCUGUGAACAACAGGUAUUGCUGACGGUACCUAAAGAAUAAGCACCGGCUAACUACGUGCCAGCAGCCGCGGUAAUACGUAGGGUGCGAGCGUUAAUCGGAAUUACUGGGCGUAAAGCGUGCGCAGGCGGUUGGGUAAGACAGGUGUGAAAUCCCCGAGCUUAACUUGGGAACUGCACUUGUGACUGCUCAACUAGAGUAUGUCAGAGGGAGGUGGAAUUCCAAGUGUAGCAGUGAAAUGCGUAGAUAUUUGGAAGAACACCGAUGGCGAAGGCAGCCUCCUGGGAUAAUACUGACGCUCAUGCACGAAAGCGUGGGGAGCAAACAGGAUUAGAUACCCUGGUAGUCCACGCCCUAAACGAUGUCAACUAGUUGUUGGGCCGCAUGGCUUAGUAACACAGCUAACGCGAGAAGUUGACCGCCUGGGGAGUACGGUCGCAAGAUUAAAACUCAAAG